GACGAACGCUGGCGGCGUGCUUAACACAUGCAAGUCGAACGAUGAAAGUCGUUUUGAUAUCUUCGGAUUGAUAAACUUCUGGAUUAGUGGCGGACGGGUGAGUAACGCGUGAGCAAUCUGCCUUACACAAAGGGAUAGCCUCGGGAAACCGGGAUUAAUACCAUAUGAUAUCACAUUUUCGCAUGAAGAAGUGAUUAAAGAAUUUCGGUGUAAGAUGAGCUCGCGUCCCAUUAAUUAGUUGGUGAGGGUA
This 250-nucleotide ribosomal RNA is filed under the name uncultured bacterium. RNAcentral's name for it is "partial 16S ribosomal RNA". It matches the Rfam family "Bacterial small subunit ribosomal RNA", at positions 28 to 260 of the family's 1533-position model. The record is from RNAcentral.